Molecule: transfer RNA, 62 nt
Filed under: Monolepta atrimarginata
Lineage: Eukaryota; Metazoa; Arthropoda; Insecta; Coleoptera; Chrysomelidae
Description: tRNA-Asp
Source: RNAcentral
AAAAUUUAGUUAAUAAAUAACACUAACUUGUCAAGUUAAAAUAAUCUUUUAGAUAAUUUUUA